RNAcentral lists this long non-coding RNA (823 nucleotides) under Felis catus (domestic cat). Its description in RNAcentral is "lncRNA (ENSFCAG00000048179.1)". Lineage: Eukaryota; Metazoa; Chordata; Mammalia; Carnivora; Felidae. The record is from RNAcentral.
CUUUUCUCUGCAUCCUGAAGGAAGCACCGUGUAAACAUUUUGCGUGCAACUCGCCGGACUGGUAAUUCCCCUCCAAGGUCAGCUCAGAAUGGUGGCUUGUGUCUGAGAAAGAAAGACUCUUUAAAAAUGAUCUUGGUCUUUCUCAAUCCUUAAAAAAAUCACUGAUUCAUCCAAUAGCGACAUUGCUGAUGAUUUGGGAGGUUGCAUUAGAAUGUCACUUAAACAUGCAAUGACUCACUAUGGAAAAUAACCUUGGUGUCACUACAGGAGUCAGACUUGAAACCCUUCUCGUGUGAAAAUCUGGAAGCUGCAAACAGCCCAUUUUACACCUGAGUACCCCACCCAUAGGUUGCUGAGGCAACUGCUGCUUACACGUGGAGAAAAAACUGACUCAGAGCUUGAACGGUUUGAAGUGUGCGAGAACCAUGAGAUACAGUUUAUGUUUCUUGAUGAAGAAAUCACUUGGCUACUUUAGAAUCCAAGUUGGUGCUUAUUUUUCAAGCCAGCAGUCACGGUUGUUUGCAGAGCAGAUGUGGAUUACAGGUAGGCAGAGCAGAACGUCUUGGAAGGAUUCUCAGCUAGGGUACAUGAAAAAGAUUAUUAAAUGAGUCCUGAUAUUUCCCAGGAGAUAAUUGCUUAAAAGUUAUGAAAAAGACCCUAGUAAUGAGCCAGAUAGAUAGUCUAUCUUAAAGCGUAUGUCACUGAUAAAGAGUAGAAUUUAAAAAUUUGUGUACCUUGUGUUUGCACAUAUUUCCUCUCUACAUCUUCCAGUUUGAGUAAAUCUGAAACAUUGGCACUUGCUGGCUUUAGCGGGGGGAAUACU